This 1646-nucleotide long non-coding RNA is filed under the name Homo sapiens (human). RNAcentral describes it as "BDNF antisense RNA". The record is from RNAcentral. Lineage: Eukaryota; Metazoa; Chordata; Mammalia; Primates; Hominidae.
GAGUACCGGCUAGUAUCGCGAGAUCAGGAAGGUGGCCGAGUGUGUCGCCGCGGCCAUCAGGGGGGUUAUAGCCAUGUGACUGAUCUUCGUCCAAGAAUAUGUAAAGAAAAAGUGUUGAGUUGGCUUUUAGGGCUAGAGCAAUGUAUCUUAGGCUCACUUAAGGAAGCUGUAGAGAUGAGCCCAAGGAGGGAAACCAGAAGAGCCCCCCAGGCUCACCAGUUGUUUGUUGGCUCCCUACAAACAUGUCAUUCAAGUGGCUAAUCUUACAACAGCACAAAUUCAUCUAACCAGAAAGAGAAGAGGAGGCUCCAAAGGCACUUGACUACUGAGCAUCACCCUGGACGUGUACAAGUCUGCGUCCUUAUUGUUUUCUUCAUUGGGCCGAACUUUCUGGUCCUCAUCCAACAGCUCUUCUAUCACGUGUUCGAAAGUGUCAGCCAAUGAUGUCAAGCCUCUUGAACCUGCCUUGGGCCCAUUCACGCUCUCCAGAGUCCCAUGGGUCCGCACACCUGGAGAUACUCUAUUAUAGCAAAGAAGAAAGAUAAUUUCAUUGAGCCAUCCUGUUUUACAGCACCCAACAGAAUCCCUUCAAAGCCUCGUGGUCUGACACCCUAUGCUACGUGACUUGUGACCCAUCCAUUUGUCAUGUUCUUCGGGAAUGUGGCUAAGGGGCUAAGAUGUGACUUGAAAAGAAAGGUAGAACAAGAUCAUCUCAAAUUUAUUAUCAAGGAAUAGUUCAGAAAACGACUUCAGACCACAGAGACAGCAGAACAGAUGGUCCGGCAUGGAUAGAGCAUCAGACACUCACAGACUGUGCCAACAAGAGCCAUCGAGUCAAAACAGCCAAAGGAAGGAGGGUCAUGGAAUGGGUUCUCUCACACCAAACUGAUGCCCAGAGGCCCUCAGCAUGAAUAACAAAGGCAACCAGACCCACAAGCCAUACUGAGUGGAUACAAAACCUAUACCUAGGCUGACAUCCCAAAUGUGUGUGGCAAGUUAGAUGAUGAUGGCACAAAAGACAGAACACCUUGCUUCUGGCCAUUGUCAGCUCUUGGAAGAGAGCACACUUUUAGAGGAGCAGCUGCAAGGAGCCUGAGAACAAAACUGGAAAUGUCUGUUAUGAAAGCCUUCACAGGAAAUUCUGCAAGUGGCAACGUGGGUCCAUUCCGUGUGUGUCACUAGAGCUGGCGCAAGCCCAUGGCCAUGGUGAGGCAGCGUUUCCACUGGAACUAAUCUGAUACCUGCACCAGCUCUUGCAACUGUGCAGUGUUCCCACUGCAAACUACGGAUGGGGUAAAAGACUGCUCACCUCCUAUUUCUCAUCUAAUCUCACACACUCUGUUUGAUGAGGCUAUGGAGAAACAGGUCUUCUCAUACACUAAAGGUGGGAGUACAAACAAUUCAAGCCCUGUGCAGGACAAUUAGGCAAUACCUAUCAAAAUUAUACAUGAUUUUUCCUGCUGACCCAGCAAUUCCACUUCUGGGAAUAAUUGACAGAUAUAGGUGCAUAUGUACAAAAUGAUGGAAAGCUCUCUGGUAUAUAUUAGUAAGUGAUAAAACAAGGUGUAAAAUAGUGUAUAUAUGGCUACUACCUUUUGUUUUAAAAAUGGGGGAAAAUGGUGGAGCUUGCGGUGAGCCGAGAUCGU